This 207-nucleotide ribosomal RNA is filed under the name uncultured bacterium. RNAcentral describes it as "partial 16S ribosomal RNA". It matches the Rfam family "Bacterial small subunit ribosomal RNA", at positions 568 to 774 of the family's 1533-position model. The record is from RNAcentral. RNAcentral also lists the same sequence under 2 other names.
AGCGUAGGUGGCCUAACAUGUCAACUGUGAAAACCCGGAGCUCAACUCCGGACUUGCAGUUGAAACUGGUAGGCUUGAGGACGGUAGAGGAAGACGGAACUGCCAGUGUAGGGGUAAAAUCCUUAGAUAUUGGCAGGAACGCCGGUGACGAAGGUGGUUUUCUGGGCCGGUUCUGACACUGAUGCUCGAAAGCCAGGGGAGCGAACG